RNAcentral lists this long non-coding RNA (205 nucleotides) under Rattus norvegicus (Norway rat). RNAcentral's name for it is "long non-coding RNA NONRATT031891". Lineage: Eukaryota; Metazoa; Chordata; Mammalia; Rodentia; Muridae. The record is from RNAcentral.
CCCCAAUUGUCUCCAAUAAUCCUUGUGAGCUCCAGACACUUCCGCAGUUAACACCAGCCAGAACUUGAGCAGCGUUGCCAAAUCUUAAGCUCCUUCUGCUGCCACACGGGCCACACGAAGGGACGUUGAGCACACCAGUUUGAGUUUGUGGGAGAAUCCAUUUCAUAAGCUGAUCUUGGGAUGAAGGAAACACUCUCCAUUUCAG